AGGGAACUCGAGGUGACGGAGGGUCUCUGGGCUGUUCCGAGGAAGUGUGACACUGAGAUCCCUGAAGGAGAAAGCUGAUGCUGAAGCUGAAGCUCCAAUACUUUGGCCAUCUGAUGUGAAGGACUGGCUCCUUAGAAAACACCCUGAUGCUGGGAAAGAUUGAAGGCAGGAGGAAAAGGCUUAUUACUUAGUAAUUUGCAACUAAAGCCCCUGUACCACAAGUACUGAAGCCCGCACACCCUAGAGCUUGUGCGCUGCAACAAGAGAAGCCAACGCAGCGCUUCUCUCUCCAUGCAUCGAAAGGAAGAGUAGCCCUGCUCCCUGCAACUAGAGGAAGCCCGAGAAGACCCAGUGCAAGC
Molecule: long non-coding RNA, 359 nt
Organism: Bos taurus (domestic cattle)
Lineage: Eukaryota; Metazoa; Chordata; Mammalia; Artiodactyla; Bovidae
Source: Ensembl